Molecule: ribosomal RNA, 506 nt
Filed under: uncultured bacterium
Lineage: Bacteria
Description: partial 16S ribosomal RNA
Rfam family: Bacterial small subunit ribosomal RNA
Source: RNAcentral
AUUGAACGCUGGCGGCAUGCCUAACACAUGCAAGUCGAACGGCAGCACGGUCUAGCUUGCUAGAUGGGUGGCGAGCGGCGCACGGGUGAGUAACGCGUAGGAAUAUGCCUUGAAGUGGGGGAUAACUUGGGGAAACUCAAGCUAAUACCGCAUAAGCUCUUAGGAGGAAAGCUGGGGACCGUAAGGCCUGGCGCUUCAAGAUUAGCCUGCGUCCGAUUAGCUAGUUGGUGGGGUAAGGGCCUACCAAGGCGACGAUCGGUAGCUGGUCUGAGAGGAGGGCCAGCCACACUGGGACUGGGACACGGCCCAGACUCCUACGGGAGGCAGCAGUGGGGAAUAUUGGGCAAUGGGGGCAACCCUGAUCCAGCAAUGCCGCGUGUGUGAAGAAGGCCUGAGGGUUGUAAAGCACUUUCAGUGGGGAGGAGGAUUGACAGGUUAAGAGCUAGUUAAUUGGACGUUACCCACAGAAGAAGCACCGGCUAACUCCGUGCCAGCAGCCGCAGUAA